AUGGAGACCCAGAGGAGCCGCACAACGGAGGGGGCAUGGAAAGGGGCCCCACACGGCAGCUCCCACCCCAGCUUCCACAUCUUCCCUAGAUGCCUCUUCGGACCUUUGCCCUCAUCCUUCCUGCUUCUCGUGCUCCCAUGCCUGUGCCUUUUGCUGUGGGCCCAGCCCCGUGCUCAUAAUGGAAGCUGCAGCCACUUAUUGUGGACUUACAAUGUGCAGCAACUGUGCUUGCACUUGACAUCUACCUCGUUUGACCUUCACAAACAAGCCAAGGUUCAGAGAGGUGAAGCCACCAGCUCAAGAUCACACAGCUAGAAAGUGCAAGGGGGGAGAUUCAAACACAUGUCUGCUGGACUCCAGGGCGGGUGUCUUCUCAGUUCUUCCCAAACAUAUGCUGGAAACCCUAGGGCCCUGGAGCCCAAGGAGAACACAAGCUAUAGGACAUGCACAAGGGUGAGAGAGCUGAGGAAGGGGAGCUGUGGGCAAAGAAGCCCCUCCAGAAAAAACCAGCGUAGGUGUGGGUGGGUGUGCUUGCAUGGGGCCCCGACCUCAGCCAUCUCCCACGGUAGUGCCAUCUGGUUCCCAGAUGUGGCCUCUCCCCAGCCCCUCGUAUUUCUUGGAAAUGAGCAAGGCCAGGAGAGGGAACAGGGGUUUUUGUGAUGUCUGUGACGACGUGAGCUCCGUUUUGUGGUCAUCCAGCCGACUGCUGCCCGAGCUCAGGAGACAGCUGGAUUGAGCGUGAACAGCCCAGGGUUCAAGCUGGCCUCUGACACUCAGCAGGGGUUGACCGGGGUGCGUCGCAGAGCCUCUUUGAGCUUCAGUAAGCAAGGAAGCCAUUCCUAUCUCUGGCAGCGGUUUUGAGCGUGCCUUAAGUUACGGGAGGGGGCAUUUUGCAGGCUGAAAGCCUCGUGCAGCUGGAAGUGGUCACAGGUGGCCCCAGGGCUGUCCCUUCAGUCUUGGCCACUGUGUGCACCCCGGAUUUCCACCUACCCCUAAAUGGCUCCUUUUCCACGUGCGAGGCUAGAGGUGGGGGCCAACGGUCAGCGGGGCCUCUCGGCAAUUUCCUUCCAGACCCAUUCUUUUGCUGAUGGGGUCUUGAUGCGCUGGAAAGGGAAGGUGACCCCUCUUGCUCUUGGAGCCUAGAGCUCCUCAGAAGACCCUCUCUGAAAGCCAGGUAAGCAUAGCAGAGAUAAUGGCAGCCUAGCGGCUGAAGGACAGACGCUCUGAGGCCUGGAAAAUCUCAACAGCCUCAGCCUGAGCUUCUAAGGACCCAGCAACAGCCCAGGCUCAUCCUCAAAGCCAGGAGCCCGGCAGCCCAGUCAGGACCAACAAAGGCCCGGGCUCUGGCCAAAGGGCACCCCAGCGUCCUCUGAUAAGGGGUAUCCUUGUUCCUUUCAGGCAAGGGCACUGGCUGGUGGGGGGCCACCCCUGCAACCCUGACGCUGAAGGAGCAAACACCCCAGAGUGGGGCCUCCUGAAGACCUGAGGAGGGUAGGCGGCAGGGGCCCUGGACACAGACCCCCUCCCGAGAGCUUCCAGACAGAAGACAGAGGUUCCCCCUCAGGCCAAGCAACAUUUCCUGAAGACAGUGGGGAACAGGGAGGAAAAACCAGUCCAUUAUCCAGGAGCAGCACCCCUGGCUGUGGACAGGUAGCACCAGGUAAGAUUCUGCCAGGUAAGAUUGUGAGGCCACCUGUUCAACUGCCUCCUUUGACAGAAGGGGAAACAGGGCGACAGAGAGAAGCGCUUGUGAUAAGGGAUCACACCACUUGGGUGUCCCAAGUGGGACCCAUCUCCUGACUGGGGACCCAGAGCAAGAAGGAGCCUCUCGUGGGGUAAGUGGAACAGGAGAGCUAUGGACCCCCUUCUCAGUGAGACAUCCUCUGAAGGAGAAAAGCCAGCUCUGUCUGCCUCUCAGCAAGUAGGCAAGACUCAAGGGAAGAGUUCCUGGGGCCAGAGAGCCAGCAGAAGGACACCUUUCCUGCACCUCUGCCCUCUUCCCAGCCCAGCGGCAGAACCUCCUCCUCCAGGAAGCCCUCCCAGUUCCCCCAGGGAGGAGGAACCUAAGCCCUCAGCAGUCCUUUCUGGGCUCUCUCUUAUGCCACUUGGGUCUGUCCCCUAUUCAACUUGCCAAGGGCAAUUUCCUUCCACUGACCAAGCUCCUCCAGGGUAAGGACCACAUCAGAUUCAGGCCUGUCUCCCCUCGGCACGUAGAAGAUGCAUUUGGUUUGCUGAACGGACAGGUGAAAUGGUUAGAUCCUGUCCCCAACCCUGAUAAAUUGGUAAAUUGGUCAGGGGAUGAGACAUGGAGCAUGGAGGUUAAAAAUUACGGUCCUGAGGCAGCUGUUCUGAUAGGAAUCCCAGCUGGGCUCCUAGCUCCAUGCCCUUGGAAAAUCCCUUUCCCAUGGAGCCUUGGGGAUGCACGGGGAUUAGCACAAUUAAAACACUCAAGAAAUGACCGUUCUUAUUACCAUCAGCAUCGCUAUGAUUUUUCUAGAGACAAAGGAAACAGAACUAGACAGCCUAUAGCCAUAGAGGAUAUAGAGGCAAAUACCUUCCCCUGGUCAAAGGUCUCAACCUCUGUCCCUGUGUCAGAGUUUCCCACAGGAGCGUGGGACUGCCUCCCAUCCACUUCCUGUUUCUACACCCAGGAGAGCUGCUAUCUUUGUGGCAAUAUUCUGAGCCCAAUGGGGUGUGCUGGAAAUAGCUGCCAAUUCCCCUGGUUCAAGCCAGUCUGUGACCCGGGAACCGUCUCCUCCCCUUCCUGGCCCUCCAUGUGGCGGUGAUAAGGGUCCCCUGACCACUGCACGGCUGCUCUGCAGAUUAAAUGUGAUGGGGCAGUUUUUCAAACAGCAGGCACUCAGAUGCCCCCUUUUUAAUUUUGGCCACAUCUGCCAACAAUCAAAAUAUUUUAAAAUUUAAGAAGAGUCAGUUUUAAUACCUAAAUAUAAAUGGGAAACUAAAAUAACUGUCCAUAAUUAGGAGAUAAUAAAGGUAAGAAUAGAGACAGUAAAAAUGCAACAGCGUUCUUACUCUCUCCUCUGGUACAUAGCUUGCAAGCCCCUGGGCCUGAGGGAGAUAAACAGGAGCCAGAAAAGUGUCAGAGACAGGAUAGCACCAAACUGAGGCUCUCUCCCCCUGGGAAACAGAAGGACUGGAAGCAAACACAGGGAAUAGCCUGAGUCACUGUGUCUUCCAGAGUUAGUGCCCAGGGGCUUCCCUGGUGGCACAGUGGUUAAGAAUCCGCCUGGCAACGCAGGGGAAAUGGUUCGAGACCUGGUCCGGGAAGAUCCUACAUGCCGCGGAGCAACUAAGGCUGUGCGCCACAACUACUGAGCCCACGUGCCACAGCUACUGAAGCCUGCGCACCUAGAGCCCGUGCUCCGCAACAAGAGAAGCCACCGCAAUGAGAAGCCCGCACACCGCAAUGAAGAGUAGCCCCCGCUAGCCGCAACUAGAGAAAGCCCGCACGCAGCAACGAAGACCCAGCACAGCCAAAAAUAAAUAAAAAUAAAAUAAAUAAAUGUAUUAAAAAACCAAGAAACAAAGUUAGUGCUCAGGCCACGUACUCUACAAAAUCGCCCGCUCUCUGUGCUGCGUUCGGAAGCCAAAGGUGGUCAGGUGAAAGAGCUUAGGAAACAGUCCGGAACAAAGGAAUGCAGGGGUCUGGCCUAAUCAGCUUGCUUCCCAGCGGCAAAUGAUCACUUUUUCGGGACGACCCUCCCUGGCUUCUUACUGAAGUCUCCACGUUGGCCAGGGCGAGCGUUUCCUCUCCAAGAGCUAGUGGGAGCUGUCUGAGAGUGGAGUAGAUGGGCUGUGGGCCGUUCAGGACCCCCAAGCUGGAUCCUGAUGUUGGAAUCACUCCCCAGCCAAACGCAGUUUGGAAAGAGUUCCUCCAUGAGAAUUCCAUAUUAAAGCGAGGCAGCUCUUUGGGUGGGAAUACCUGAGGAAGGGGCUGUCCCCCUCAGCAGGCCAGCAGGCCUGACUUGCCCCAAGUGGCAGACCAGAGGAAAACACGCUGCAGAUCAGGGCCUGCUUUCAGACUUCUGCCAGAGGCAUAUGAGACUAUUAUUUGAAGGAGGCGUGUGUGUUUUCCUGCUCUCUCCCACCCCCGAGAAAAGGCUGCUGGUUCCCUUCACCCUUCAGACAUCCGGCACUAAGGCCACCCCAGUGGGCAUCAGCAAUGCAGGAGGGUCCUCUGGGGGUGCCCUGAGAUCUUGGCGGGGCAGAAGAAAUAGAGGCGAGGCUCAGCCUGCUCACUCAGAGGUUCCCACCCAAGCCGGGUCUUGAGAGGAAAAUGAAUUAUCUAUACGGUCAUUCAAUCAUCCACUAAGUGGCAUUCCCUGGGACCCAUCAUCAUGUACAAAGGCCUCCACAAGGCGCAGGGAUCCUCGCCAUUAACAAAUGUGGGUGCUGUCCUCAGGGAACUGGAGAUCUAACCCAGUCAGACCCAGAUGCAAAGAGCUCUGACACCGGAGAGAAUGAGGUUGAAGAAUACGAUUCAGCCACUCUUACAACGCAUAUGAGGAUCUACCAUCACAAGUAUGGUAAAGGAUUAGAAAGAGAAAGAGGGCAGAAAGAGGGCAGAAGAUGCGUGAGGACAUGGACCAGGGUGUCCUGAUGUCUGAGAAAGUCAGAGAGGGCUUCCCACAAGAAGUAGCCGUUUGGUCUCCUCUUCCACCAGGAGGAGACGGGCAGGGGCGCAAGAGGGAGCAGCAUGGUAGCUGGGGGCCCCGAGGUGGUAGGCACAGGGCUCCUUGGAGGAAUGGAAAAAGGGGGGCAGAGGCCCAAGAGGAAGUGGCCAGCUGGGCCAGAUGGGUCAGGCCUUGUAGCCUUUUGUGAGGGGUUCAGAAUUUAGCCAGAGGGCAGUGGGAGAGUUUUUAGCAUUUUAAGCCUAGGAGAGAUAUGGGCAUAUUGGCAUUUUGAGAAAUCACUCUAGGAGGAUGGCUGGGAUGGAUGGUUGGGAAGUCGGUGGGAGUAGAAGCAAGGAGGCCAGGUAGGAAGCUAAGACAAAUGUUUGAUGGUAUAAAGUACCAUGAAUGUGCCGUUUGGCUGGCAUGCACCAAGCAUAAAUGUGGGGUAUGGGGUCAAAAGGUAGAACAUUAUAUUGGAUGGCUCCAUUUACUGAAAUGCCUAGAUUAGCAGCUCUGUGGAGAUAGACCUGCCCGGGGGCUAGGGGUGAUGGGAGGUGGGUAGGAGGGGCUAAAUGGUAAGAGGGUUCUUUUGGAAUGAUGAAACGUUCUGAAAUCGAUUGUGGCAAUGGUUACACCACUUUGUGAAUGUAUUAAAAACCACUUCAUUGUGCAAUAUAAAUAGGUGAAUUAUAUUUCAAUAAAACUGUUUAAAAAGAAAAGAAAAGGAAGGUUGAGGCUUGGUCCCAGAGGGCUCAAACGCCAGGCUGAGGACAGGAAACACAUCUGUGGUAGUUAAGCAGCCUCUGGGGCAAUAGCUGGAUGGUGGAGCUGAGGCCCCUCUAAUGCCCCUUCUCCUGUCUAGGGUGGACUCCCUGCCAUCAGCCCCUGGUGCAGAGCAGCGUGGCACCCUGUCUCCCAGCCUGAGGUGCAGUGCUGCAUCUCUGGUCAGUUGGGAGUCUGAGAUGAAGCACUGUAGCUCGGGAAGGGAGAAGUUGUUCUGCGGCCGUUGCCUGGACGUGGUAAGUGGUAGUGGUGCUUGCGGGCACCAGGAAGGACGGGAAUGUUUCCACUCUCCGUAUGGUCAGCUGAGGAAGUUGCUGGAUUCAAGUCCUACCUGUGCCACUAUCUGCUUCAUGAUUCUGGGCAAGGCCUGAAUCUUCUGUGCACCCCAGUUUGUCCAUCUGUAAAGUGAGGUGUUGGAGCACUCGGUGGUGGCCAUUACCCAGCACCCUGACUCUGCUUUCGCUUUCUGAGCCCAUGACAGACACUGCUAAUCAGUCGAGGCAUCCUUUCUUUUUUCUUUUUUUCUUUUCUUUUGUAAUUUUGUAAAACUUUUUAUCUUAUAUUGGAGUAUAGUUGAUUAAUAAUGUUUUGAUAGUUUCAGGUGUACAGCAAAGUGAUUCAGUUAUACACAUACAUGUAUCUAUUCUUUUUCAAAUUCUUUUCCCAUUUAGGUUGUUACAUAAUAUUGAGCAGCGUUCCCUGUGUUAUACAGUAAGUCUUUGUUGGUUAUCCAUUUUAAAUACAGAAGUGUGUACAUGUCAAUCCCAAACUCCCUAACUAUCCCUUCCCCCAACUCUAAGGCAUCCUUUCUUGAAGCAUUCAGGUACAGCUUCAGAAUCCUUCUCAGCACUAAGUUCUGGAGAACUUAGUUAAUGAUUCGAAGCUGAAACCCUUCAUCAUUUGUGAACUGAACAAUUCCUAAAAACCCUUUCAGCCUUAAAGACAAAAGUCCUGGGCUUUGAGUCAGGCUCUUCACUCUUUGAGGUGUUGCCUAAGUUAGUCCAGGCAUCUCCCAAAUAUCUGACCCCUCUCAGUGGCUUCAGACAAGCAAGAAACAGCAGAGGAAAAUCACUGGGCUAAGCACAAUUUUAUUUAACCUCCCAACAAGCUUGGGAGGUAAAUGUUAUUAACCCAUUUUCCAGAUAAGAAAACCAAGGCUCAGUUAAGCAACUGGCCCAAGGUCACACACUGACUAUGUUGAGCUGGGCUUGGAACCUAAUCUGUCUGCCUUCAGAUUCAUGUUCUUACCCACUGCAUGUGGUCUUGUCCUUACAUCUUGGGUCACUUUUAGCAAAGACAGACCAAGACAUUUUCCAUUAAUCCUGUAGAUUUCCUUCCUCUUCUCCUCCCCGCCCCCAGCCACCAUAGUUGUAUUUAUCUCACCUUAUCCAGUAGGUCCUAUACCAUAGCAUUUUACAGUUGGGGAAGGCUGAGGUUAAGUGAUUUGCUGAGGGUCACCAACAAAGAAGUUGCCAAACAGAGACUGGGAACUGGAUCCGCCCAGUUGGUUUAGAGUAAAACCCUCCCUCGGCUGGAGACUAAGGAAUACACAUGAUCCAUGGCAGUCGAAGGGGGGAGUGGGGUGUUACCAGAUGGUUUCUGGUUGACAACAUGGCCUUUGACUACAGGGAAGGUACUUUCCGGGGCAAUUGAAGUUCCAGUCACUACUCUCCCCCCGGAGCAAUCAUCCACAUCCCGCGAGACACAGCAGCCGCCCUGGCUUCUGCAGAUGGGGCCGGAUGCAGAAGAAAACGCCAGCUGGUCCUUAGGGACAUGCCAGAGCCUUGGUGCUGAAGGCCACUCUCUCACCUUGUCCUCACGGUCCAGUUUUCCCAGGAAUCCCUUAGAUGCUAAGAUGGGGAUUCCUGGAAAUACUGUUCUUGAGGUCAUGGUUUAACAGCUGGAUGCGUCUCCUUCCCACCCAGAGUUGCCCCUGCAGGGCUUGGGCUCAAGCACGUCAUGAGGUCAAGUGGAAGGCCAUGCACUAGAGGUAAGAGGGCUUGAGAACUGUGUUCUUGACCUUUAAGUUGCUUUUCUUUCCAUUUUGUCCAUUUCGUAACAUCCUGUGAGGCUGGAAUGGGAACUUCACCACUGUCCUGCUCUUGGGAACUUUGUCCAGGCACUCAGUUGAGCAGUGGUUGAACCAGGACACCAUAAAGCAUGUGUUUCUUUCUGCCUCAACCGCACCCCCACCCCACUUCCCCGCAUGCCAAGCAAUAGGGGUCGCACUAUCGAAUCAGCAUUAUUGAUAAAUGAAUAAAUGUACGUGAAUUUAUUUUAAAAGUUUGCUAAAUCAGUUUGCUAAACUAAAAACAAAAAAAACCAUUAAGUUUUAGUUCGAUUUGUAAUGCAGCCACAGAAAAAUUUUUAAAUUUUUCAUUAAGGUAGAGAAGACAAAAAAGCUCAGAGUGCCCUCUUGUGGUGAUGCCUCUCUCAACCUGCUUCAGGAACACUGAGGCUCGCCUCUACACACACACACACACACACACACACACACACACACAGAGAUUCCUUUUGCCCCAGUCACUUUUGAGCCACUGACCACGUAAGCCCCAUCCAUCCUCUCAUUACCAAUGACCAUCACUUACGAUUUACUUUAACUCGCAUCACCUUCGUCUCAAAGCUCCUGAGGUUCAGAGAGGUCAAGUGACCAGCCCACAGUCACUCACAUAGCAUAAGGCAGAGCCAGGAUUGAUUCCAAGUUCAGUGGCUUGUGGCAAUUCCUCAGCCAAAAGUAAAAACUGCAAAAAUAAAAAAUAAAAGUAAGACAAUCUGAAUAGACAGAGAAAAUGCUAGCUGACUGAAUCCCAGAGAUCUGAAGUGGUCCAGGUGCAACACUAGAACUUUUCACAAACUCUUCCUAGUGCUUUUCAUGGAGUUGGUAGAGACAGGAGGUGUCGUGGCCCCAGGAGCCUCGCUUUGGGGUCUGCUUGCCAUGUUCCCAGGGACCAGGUGGCUCCCACACGUCUCAGGCUGUCUCUCUAACAGGCCACAUUGAAGACAUUUAUAAAAUAUGAGAUCUCCCUCCCCCUUAUCCUCAGAGACUGGAGCUGGACUGACCAUGAAGAAAUCUGAUUUGCUCCUAAUGAUAAUAAUAGCUUCCACUCACGAAUAUUUACAACUUACUGGGCCCUGUGCUAAAUGCUUUCACAGGCACUGUCUCAUUCAAUCCUCACAACAACCCAGUGAGGUAGGUUGUAUCACAUACUCCGUUUCACAGAUGAGGCAGCCAAGGCACAGAGAGGUUAAGACACUUGCCUAAGAUCACACAGCUAACAAGUUGUGAGGCUGAGUCAAAUCAAGUCUGUGUUUAUGCUUAUCACCUGCCCUUGCCCCCUCUCUCCCUUUUGGCCUGGCCUGGCAGGUGGGGCUACCUCCCGUGGCUUCCCCUGGGGGAGAAGGUAAAACAAGCCUUCAGUGAGACCCAAGCAGUCCCUCCUGUGCUCUGUGACUAUAAUAAAAUGCUGGACCCUU
Long non-coding RNA from Lagenorhynchus albirostris (white-beaked dolphin), 8891 nucleotides. RefSeq lists it as uncharacterized. The transcript has 2 exons. Lineage: Eukaryota; Metazoa; Chordata; Mammalia; Artiodactyla; Delphinidae. The record is from RefSeq and is a predicted model, not a curated record.